RNAcentral lists this ribosomal RNA (609 nucleotides) under uncultured bacterium. RNAcentral describes it as "bacterial SSU rRNA". It matches the Rfam family "Bacterial small subunit ribosomal RNA", at positions 29 to 633 of the family's 1533-position model. The record is from RNAcentral.
UUGAACGCUGGCGGCAGGCCUAACACAUGCAAGUCGAGCGGUAGAGAGAAGCUUGCUUCUCUUGAGAGCGGCGGACGGGUGAGUAAUGCCUAGGAAUCUGCCUGGUAGUGGGGGAUAACGUUCGGAAACGGACGCUAAUACCGCAUACGUCCUACGGGAGAAAGCAGGGGACCUUCGGGCCUUGCGCUAUCAGAUGAGCCUAGGUCGGAUUAGCUAGUUGGUGAGGUAAUGGCUCACCAAGGCGACGAUCCGUAACUGGUCUGAGAGGAUGAUCGGUCUCGCUGGAGCUGAGACACGGUCCUGACUCCUACGGGAGGCUGCCGUGGGGAAUGUUGGACCAUGGGCGAUAGCCUGAUCCAGCCCUGCCGCGUGUGUGAAGAGGGUCUUCGGAUUGUCACGCGCUUUAAGUUGGGGGGGGGGGUUGUGGGUUAGUGCUCUGCACUUUUGGCGUUACCGUCCGGGUUUGCGCCGGCUUGCUCUGUGCCGGCUGCCGCGGUAGUUCUGGGGGUGCAAGCGUUUUUCGGUCUUCCUGGGCGUAUGGCGCGCGUCGGUGGUUUGUUACGUUGGAUGUGAAUUCCCCGGGCUCCCCCUGGGAACUGCUUUCUUUCC